This is a long non-coding RNA of Homo sapiens (human), 967 nucleotides long. Lineage: Eukaryota; Metazoa; Chordata; Mammalia; Primates; Hominidae. The record is from Ensembl.
AUUCUAGAAUGUUCUGAAAUAUUUUCGAAUGCUUGAGAAAACUCUGUACUUAUGGAAAUGUCCCAUGUUGCACUAUCCAAUAUGAUAGUCACUAGGCACAUGGGCUGUUGAACAAUAGAAAUAUGGCUAAUGUAAUUGAGAAACUGAAAAUGUAAUUUACAUGUACAUUUAAGAUGAAAUAGCCAGACAUGGCUACUAUUAUAAUGGACAACACAUUUUUACAAAUUAUGAGUUGACUUUAUUAUACCAGCCUCUAUCUCAUACUUCCUUAUUAUCUUCAAAACACAAUCGAUCAGGAACAAAAACGUAAUCUCAAGCUUCUAGAAAUUUGGCACACUCACCAAAGAACUGAAUACUCCUUUGCAGUCAGACCAUGUGUUCCAGACAACAUAACUAGAAAGAUGUGAGAAGGCACUUCAUGUGGGAGAUAAGCCUUGUUUUACUUAAUCCACUGAGAUGUCAGAGUUAAUUGUUACAGCAGCAGCCUGUUGUAUAGGCUGACUAACACAUGGUAACUAACAGAACACUUUGGAUUCUUGACAAAAUAAGAGCAAGAAAGCAGCAGCAGAAGCAGAAAUCAGAGGGGCGAGAAACCAAAAGCAACAGAGCAAGAUCUACUCUCUACACAUCGACAUCCUGCUCUCUUCCAGGGAGAGUAACCUACAUGAACCAUACCAGUGGUUCCCAUCCAGGACAGUUCCCACUCACCUCCCCAUGGACAUUUGGAAAUAUCUAGAGACAUUUUUGCAUAUCACAAAAUGCAAAAAAAAAAAAAAUGUACCCUGCAAAGCCACAAGAGCAGAGCAGACCAAGGCUUUGGGAGCCUACCCCUUGCAUCAAUGUGGCCUGGAUGUGAGACAUGGAGUCAAAGGUUUUCAGUGUCUGAUGGGUAGGGGCUAGGGAUGCUGUUAAACAUGCUGCAAUGCAUAGGAUAGUUCUCUACAAUAAAGAAUUAUUCAAUCUUAAA